Molecule: ribosomal RNA, 253 nt
Filed under: uncultured bacterium
Lineage: Bacteria
Description: partial 16S ribosomal RNA
Rfam family: Bacterial small subunit ribosomal RNA
Source: RNAcentral
UACGGAGGGUGCAAACGUUGCUCGGAAUCAUUGGGCGUAAAGCGCACGUAGGCGGCGAAACAAGUUGGGUGUGAAAGCCCUGGGCUCAACCCAGGAAGUGCAUUCAAAACUGUUUCGCUUGAAUCUCGGAGGGGGUCAGAGAAUUCCCGGUGUAGAGGUGAAAUUCGUAGAUAUCGGGAGGAAUACCAGUGGCGAAGGCGCUGACCUGGACGAAGAUUGACGCUGAGGUGCGAAAGCGUGGGGAGCAAACAGG